AUGUGUUUUUUUUUCCUUCGUGUGUUCCCGACUAUUCUAACCACGUGUUUAUAUUUAAGUUGAAUCGACUUAUGUGUGUUAUGAGAAUGUGUGUGUGUGUGUGUAUGUUUAUAUACGUGUGUUUAUAUCGUAAACGCAAUAUAUUAAGGCCUCUUAGUUACUAACGACAGGUCGUCACGUUCUCAUCCUCCGAGCUACGACGCUACGACGAUACGAAGAUGGCGACAGAAUUUGCUUACCGCUUCUCUUCCAUCAGAAAAUUUUCCUUUUUUCGUCAAAAAAAAAAAAAAAAAAGGAAAAAGAAAUAUUGUAUUCCAACAUGUAUGUACACGCGAAAAUCGAAAAGUGCUUGGCUUUGUGUAUAUAAUACUCGCAUCUGGGGGCAAAAGUUGAUUUUUGCCCGAAAUUUGUUUGUAAGAAAGGACGAGAAACCUGCGUCUCCUCUUGCCUCGUCGCUUGGCCACCGAAUCUGAUGCAUGUGCGAUGAUGGAUCAAUCGGAAGGAUCACGGAGAGACAGGCCAGUCGAUGUUUAAGAUUUUAGAGAAGAGCGCUCGUUUCAUUAGAGCACCCCCUCUGGAGUGUGGUAUUUGAUGAUAUUUCAACAAGUGUGUAACGAGUUACGUAUGCAAAUUAUUGGGUAUGAUUUAAACUUUACUUUGAAUUAUGCUAAAUUCUUGUUUUUCCUUUUUUUUCUCUUUAGGAGACGAUUCCCUCUUCACAGUGAUCUUGAGUGAACCUGACCAAGUCUUUUAGAAGUUUGAGGAACUAUAAAAGGUAUCUUAAGUACGAUCUAAUCCCUAUCUUAAUUCGUUUUAAAUUUCUCUACUAUAUGUGGCUCACUGUCAUCGCGGAAUCAGACAUUGGAUUCUUGGCAGUAUUUGGUACAACAUCCUCGAAAUGGAAUUAUAGGUAUUAUUGACUGGCUCUGUCUCUCCAAAUAGAAACGAAAGCUUGAUUAAAA
Apis florea (little honeybee) is the source of this 962-nucleotide long non-coding RNA. NCBI's taxonomy places the organism in Eukaryota, Metazoa, Arthropoda, Insecta, Hymenoptera, Apidae. The record is from RefSeq and is a predicted model, not a curated record.